This 468-nucleotide ribosomal RNA is filed under the name uncultured bacterium. Its description in RNAcentral is "partial 16S ribosomal RNA". It matches the Rfam family "Bacterial small subunit ribosomal RNA", at positions 28 to 507 of the family's 1533-position model. The record is from RNAcentral.
GAUGAACGCUGGCGGCGUGCUUAACACAUGCAAGUCGAACGGUGAAGGCGGAGCUUGCUCUGCUGGAUCAGUGGCGAACGGGUGAGUAACACGUGAGCAGUCUGCCCCUGACUCUGGGAUAAGCGCUGGAAACGGCGUCUAAUACUGGAUACGAGCUGCGAAGGCAUCUUCAGCAGCUGGAAAGAAUUUCGGUCAGGGAUGAGCUCGCGGCCUAUCAGCUUGUUGGUGAGGUAAUGGCUCACCAAGGCGUCGACGGGUAGCCGGCCUGAGAGGGUGACCGGCCACACUGGGACUGAGACACGGCCCAGACUCCUACGGGAGGCAGCAGUGGGGAAUAUUGCACAAUGGGCGAAAGCCUGAUGCAGCAACGCCGCGUGAGAGACGACGGCCUUCGGGUUGUAAACCUCUUUUAGCAGGGAAGAAGCGAAAGUGACGGUACCUGCAGAAAAAGCGCCGGCUAACUACGUG